This 197-nucleotide ribosomal RNA is filed under the name uncultured bacterium. Its description in RNAcentral is "partial 16S ribosomal RNA". It matches the Rfam family "Bacterial small subunit ribosomal RNA", at positions 335 to 524 of the family's 1533-position model. The record is from RNAcentral.
ACUCCUACGGGAGGCAGCAGUAGGGAAUAUUGGACAAUGGGCGAAAGCCUGAUCCAGCCAUUCCGCGUGCAGGAUGAAGGCCCUCGGGUUGUAAACUGCUUUUGUACGGAACGAAAAGGCUUUCUCUAAUACAGAGGGCUCAUGACGGUACCGUAAGAAUAAGCACCGGCUAACUACGUGCCAGCAGCCGCGGUAAU